RNAcentral lists this transfer RNA (73 nucleotides) under Cimex lectularius (bed bug). RNAcentral's name for it is "tRNA-Asp". It matches the Rfam family "tRNA". Rfam says of the family: Transfer RNA (tRNA) molecules are approximately 80 nucleotides in length. Their secondary structure includes four short double-helical elements and three loops (D, anti-codon, and T loops). Further hydrogen bonds mediate the characteristic L-shaped molecular structure. tRNAs have two regions of fundamental functional importance: the anti-codon, which is responsible for specific mRNA codon recognition, and the 3' end, to which the tRNAs corresponding amino acid is attached (by aminoacyl-tRNA synthetases). tRNAs cope with the degeneracy of the genetic code in two manners: having more than one tRNA (with a specific anti-codon) for a particular amino acid; and 'wobble' base-pairing, i.e. permitting non-standard base-pairing at the 3rd anti-codon position. The record is from Rfam by way of RNAcentral. Lineage: Eukaryota; Metazoa; Arthropoda; Insecta; Hemiptera; Cimicidae.
GUGACGAUAGCUCAAGUGGUAGAGUAGCGGCGUGUCAAGCCGACGGUCGUGGGUUCGAAUCCCGCUCGUGACA